AGAGUUUGAUCAUGGCUCAGAAUCAACGCUGGCGGCGCGCUUAACACAUGCAAGUCGAACGAGAAAGGGGGAGCAAUCCCCCCGGUAAAGUGGCGUACGGGUGAGUAACACGUGGGUAAUCUGCCCUUUGGUGGGGAAUAACCCUGGGAAACCGGGGCUAAUACCGCAUAAGUCCGAGAGGAGAAAGUCGCAAGACGCCGAAGGAGGAGCCCGCGGCCGAUUAGCUAGUUGGCAGGGUAAAAGCCUACCAAGGCAAAGAUCGGUAGCCGGCCUGAGAGGGCACACGGCCACACUGGCACUGAAACACGGGCCAGACUCCUACGGGAGGCAGCAGUGGGGAAUCUUGCACAAUGGGGGAAACCCUGAUGCAGCGACGCCGCGUGAGCGAUGAAGCCCUUCGGGGUGUAAAGCUCUUUCGGCAGGGAAGAUGAUGACGGUACCUGCAAAAGCAGCUGCGGCUAACUACGUGCCAGCAGCCGCGGUAAUACGUAGGCAGCGAGCGUUGUUCGGAGUUACUGGGCGUAAAGGGUGUGUAGGCGGUUUGGUAAGUCUGGUGUGAAAUCUCCCGGCUCAACUGGGAGGGUGCGCCGGAAACUGCCGGACUCGAGUGCGGGAGAGGAGAGUGGAAUUCCUGGUGUAGCGGUGAAAUGCGUAGAUAUCAGGAGGAACACCGGCGGUGUAGACGGCUCUCUGGACCGUAACUGACGCUGAAACACGAAAGCGUGGGUAGCAAACAGGAUUAGAUACCCUGGUAGUCCACGCCCUAAACGAUGCAUAUUUGGUGUGGGUCAUUCAGUUGAUCCGUGCCGGAGCUAACGCGUUAAAUAUGCCGCCUGGGGAGUACAGUCGCAACGCUGAACUCAAAGGAAUUGACGGGGCCCGCACAAGCGGUGGAGCAUGUGGUUCAAUUCGACGCAACGCGAAGAACCUUACC
Molecule: ribosomal RNA, 934 nt
Filed under: uncultured bacterium
Lineage: Bacteria
Description: bacterial SSU rRNA
Rfam family: Bacterial small subunit ribosomal RNA
Source: RNAcentral